This 427-nucleotide ribosomal RNA is filed under the name uncultured bacterium. RNAcentral describes it as "bacterial SSU rRNA". It matches the Rfam family "Bacterial small subunit ribosomal RNA", at positions 355 to 774 of the family's 1533-position model. The record is from RNAcentral.
UGGGGAAUUUUGGACAAUGGGCGCAAGCCUGAUCCAGCCAUGCCGCGUGCGGGAAGAAGGCCUUCGGGUUGUAAACCGCUUUUGUCGGGGAAGAAAUCUCUCGGGCUAAUACCUCGGGGGGAUGACGGUACCCGAAGAAUAAGCACCGGCUAACUACGUGCCAGCAGCCGCGGUAAUACGUAGGGUGCGAGCGUUAAACGGAAUUACUGGGCGUAAAGCGUGCGCAGGCGGUUUUGCAAGACAGAUGUGAAAUCCCCGGGCUUAACCUGGGAACUGCGUUUGUGACUGCAAGGCAGGAGUACGGCAGAGGGGGGUGGAAUUCCACGUGUAGCAGUGAAAUGCGUAGAGAUGUGGAGGAACACCGAUGGCGAAGGCAGCCCCCUGGGCCUGUACUGACGCUCAUGCACGAAAGCGUGGGGAGCAAACA